Molecule: ribosomal RNA, 158 nt
Filed under: uncultured bacterium
Lineage: Bacteria
Description: partial 16S ribosomal RNA
Rfam family: Bacterial small subunit ribosomal RNA
Source: RNAcentral
CAUAGAAUCGCCGUUGAAACUGGUUGGCUUGAGUACGAUUGAGGCAGGCGGAAUUCGUGGUGUAGCGGUGAAAUGCUUAGAUAUCACGAAGAACUCCGAUUGCGAAGGCAGCUUGCUAAAGUGUAACUGACGUUCAUGCUCGAAAGUGUGGGUAGCAA